This is a long non-coding RNA of Monopterus albus (swamp eel), 265 nucleotides long. RefSeq lists it as uncharacterized. The record is from RefSeq and is a predicted model, not a curated record. Lineage: Eukaryota; Metazoa; Chordata; Actinopteri; Synbranchiformes; Synbranchidae. The transcript has 3 exons.
AUGUUAAAUGUAUUAUCUUUCAGGUUCUUGGCAAACCUCCCCGAAUUCAAGAACCUGCUCAAAGUCAAACCUGUAUUUGACAAGGAUGUUGAAGAAGCCAGCACAAUGAAGGGGUUCCGUCACUUUGAAUUCAACAGGGAUGACAGUAAGGUGUUGGAUGUGGACACACCUGAUGGAGGCUUGGUGGCAGAAUUUGAGCACAUGGUAUGAAACCCCACAAGCUGAAGAAGUUGUCAGCUGUUUGAAUUGUGCACAUGGGUUAAGA